RNAcentral lists this ribosomal RNA (425 nucleotides) under uncultured bacterium. Its description in RNAcentral is "bacterial SSU rRNA". It matches the Rfam family "Bacterial small subunit ribosomal RNA", at positions 354 to 796 of the family's 1533-position model. The record is from RNAcentral.
GUGGGGAAUAUUGCACAAUGGGGGAAACCCUGAUGCAGCAACGCCGCGUGAGUGAUGAAGGCCUUCGGGUUGUAAAGCUCUGUCUUUGGGGACGAUAAUGACGGUACCCAAGGAGGAAGCCACGGCUAACUACGUGCCAGCAGCCGCGGUAAUACGUAGGUGGCAAGCGUUGUCCGGAUUUACUGGGCGUAAAGGGAGCGUAGGCGGACUUUUAAGUGGGAUGUGAAAUACUCGGGCUUAACCUGAGUGCUGCAUUCCAAACUGGAAGUCUAGAGUGCAGGAGGGGAAAGUGGAAUUCCUAGUGUAGCGGUGAAAUGCGUAGAUAUUAGGAAGAACACCGGUGGCGAAGGCGACUUUCUGGACUGUAACUGACGCUGAGGCUCGAAAGCGUGGGGAGCGAACAGGAUUAGAAACCCUAGUAGUCC